GUGCUCGCUGCAGCAGCACAUAUACUAAAAUUGGAAAGAUGCAGAGAUUAGCAGGGCCCCUGUGCUAGGAUGAUACGCAAAUUUGAGAAAUGUUCCAUGUAAAA
Mustela putorius furo (domestic ferret) is the source of this 104-nucleotide small nuclear RNA. Lineage: Eukaryota; Metazoa; Chordata; Mammalia; Carnivora; Mustelidae. The record is from Ensembl.